This 465-nucleotide ribosomal RNA is filed under the name uncultured bacterium. RNAcentral's name for it is "partial 16S ribosomal RNA". It matches the Rfam family "Bacterial small subunit ribosomal RNA", at positions 28 to 507 of the family's 1533-position model. The record is from RNAcentral.
GACGAACGCUGGCGGCGUGCUUAAUACAUGCAAGUCGAACGGAAAGGCCCCUUUGGGGGUACUCGAGUGGCGAACGGGUGAGUAACACGUGAGUAACCUGCCCUUGACUUCGGGAUAACUUCAGGAAACUGGGGCUAAUACCGGAUAGGAAUCCUUGCUGCAUGGUGGGGGUUGGAAAGCUUCGGCGGUUUUGGAUGGACUCGCGGCUUAUCAGCUUGUUGGUGGGGUAGUGGCUUACCAAGGCUUUGACGGGUAGCCGGCCUGAGAGGGCGACCGGCCACAUUGGGACUGAGAUACGGCCCAGACUCCUACGGGAGGCAGCAGUGGGGAAUAUUGCACAAUGGGCGGAAGCCUGAUGCAGCAACGCCGCGUGCGGGAUGACGGCCUUCGGGUUGUAAACCGCUUUCAGCAGGGGCGAAGCUUGUGGUGACGGUACCUGCAGAAGAAGCACCGGCUAACUACGUG